This 77-nucleotide transfer RNA is filed under the name Dehalococcoidales bacterium. RNAcentral describes it as "tRNA-Pro". It matches the Rfam family "tRNA". Rfam says of the family: Transfer RNA (tRNA) molecules are approximately 80 nucleotides in length. Lineage: Bacteria; Bacillati; Chloroflexota; Dehalococcoidia; Dehalococcoidales. The record is from RNAcentral.
CGGGGUGUAGCGCAGCCUGGUAGCGCGCCACGUUCGGGACGUGGAGGCCGGAGGUUCGAGUCCUCUCACCCCGACCA